Molecule: unclassified non-coding RNA, 373 nt
Filed under: soil metagenome
Description: partial contains 5.8S ribosomal RNA, internal transcribed spacer 2, and large subunit ribosomal RNA
Rfam family: 5.8S ribosomal RNA (bases 1-120)
Source: RNAcentral
GAUGAAGAACGCAUCGAAAUGCGAUAAGUAAUGUGAAUUGCAGAAUUCAGUGAAUCAUCGAAUCUUUGAACGCACAUUGCGCCCGCCAGUAUUCUGGCGGGCAUGCCUGUUCGAGCGUCAUUACAACCCUCAAGCCCCCCGGCUUGGUGUUGGGGACCGGCCACCGGUGCCCUGCUGCUUCCGCGGCAGGCGCACCCGGCCGCCCCCGAAAUGAAUUGGCGGCCCCGUCGCGGCCUCCCUCUGCGUAGUAGCACACAUCUCGCAGCUGGAGCGCGGCGCGGCCACUGCCGUAAAACGCACCAACUUUUUUUACAGUUGACCUCGAAUCAGGUAGGAAUACCCGCUGAACUUAAGCAUAUCAAUAAGCGGAGGA